CCUACGGGCGGCAGCAGUGAGGAAUAUUGGUCAAUGGCCGUAAGGCUGAACCAGCCAAGUCGCGUGAAGGAAGAAGGAUCUAUGGUUUGUAAACUUCUUUUAUAGGGGAAUAAAGGUAUCCACGUGUGGAUAUUUGCAUGUACCCUAUGAAUAAGCAUCGGCUAACUCCGUGCCAGCAGCCGCGGUAAUACGGAGGAUGCGAGCGUUAUCCGGAUUUAUUGGGUUUAAAGGGUGCGUAGGCGGAAGGUUAAGUCAGCGGUCAAAUGUCGGUGCUCAACACCGGCCUGCCGUUGAAACUGGUCUUCUUGAGUGAGCGAGAAGUAUGCGGAAUGCGUGGUGUAGCGGUGAAAUGCAUAGAUAUCACGCAGAACUCCGAUUGCGAAGGCAGCAUACCGGCGCUCAACUGACGCUGAGGCACGAAAGCGUGGGGAUCGAACAGGAUUAGAUACCCGUGUAGUC
This 459-nucleotide ribosomal RNA is filed under the name uncultured bacterium. Its description in RNAcentral is "partial 16S ribosomal RNA". It matches the Rfam family "Bacterial small subunit ribosomal RNA", at positions 338 to 795 of the family's 1533-position model. The record is from RNAcentral.